ACAAUGGAGAGUUUGAUCCUGGCUCAGGAUGAACGCUAGCGGGAGGCCUAACACAUGCAAGCCGAGCGGUAGAGAUUCUUCGGAAUCUUGAGAGCGGCGUACGGGUGCGGAACACGUGUGCAACCUGCCUUUAUCAGGGGGAUAGCCUUUCGAAAGGAAGAUUAAUACCCCAUAAUAUAUUGAAUGGCAUCAUUUAAUAUUGAAAACUCCGGUGGAUAGAGAUGGGCACGCGCAAGAUUAGAUAGUUGGUGAGGUAACGGCUCACCAAGUCUACGAUCUUUAGGGGGCCUGAGAGGGUGAUCCCCCACACUGGUACUGAGACACGGACCAGACUCCUACGGGAGGCAGCAGUGAGGAAUAUUGGACAAUGGGUGAGAGCCUGAUCCAGCCAUCCCGCGUGAAGGACGACGGCCCUAUGGGUUGUAAACUUCUUUUGUAUAGGGAUAAACCUAGAUACGUGUAUCUAGCUGAAGGUACUAUACGAAUAAGCACCGGCUAACUCCGUGCCAGCAGCCGCGGUAAUACGGAGGGUGCAAGCGUUAUCCGGAUUUAUUGGGUUUAAAGGGUCCGUAGGCGGAUUUGUAAGUCAGUGGUGAAAUCUCACAGCUUAACUGUGAAACUGCCAUUGAUACUGCAAGUCUUGAGUGUUGUUGAAGUAGCUGGAAUAAGUAGUGUAGCGGUGAAAUGCAUAGAUAUUACUUAGAACACCAAUUGCGAAGGCAGGUUACUAAGCAACAACUGACGCUGAUGGACGAAAGCGUGGGGAGCGAACAGGAUUAGAUACCCUGGUAGUCCACGCCGUAAACGAUGCUAACUCGUUUUUGGAGCGCAAGCUUCAGAGACUAAGCGAAAGUGAUAAGUUAGCCACCUGGGGAGUACGAACGCAAGUUUGAAACUCAAAGGAAUUGACGGGGGCCCGCACAAGCGGUGGAUUAUGUGGUUUAAUUCGAUGAUACGCGAGGAACCUUACCAAGGCUUAAAUGGGAAAUGACAGGUUUAGAAAUAGACUUUUCUUCGGACAUUUUUCAAGGUGCUGCAUGGUUGUCGUCAGCUCGUGCCGUGAGGUGUUAGGUUAAGUCCUGCAACGAGCGCAACCCCUGUCACUAGUUGCCAUCAUUAAGUUGGGGACUCUAGUGAGACUGCCUACGCAAGUAGAGAGGAAGGUGGGGAUGACGUCAAAUCAUCACGGCCCUUACGCCUUGGGCCACACACGUAAUACAAUGGCCGGUACAGAGGGCAGCUACACUGCGAAGUGAUGCAAAUCUCGAAAGCCGGUCUCAGUUCGGAUUGGAGUCUGCAACUCGACUCUAUGAAGCUGGAAUCGCUAGUAAUCGCGCA
Molecule: ribosomal RNA, 1338 nt
Filed under: Chryseobacterium metallicongregator
Lineage: Bacteria; Pseudomonadati; Bacteroidota; Flavobacteriia; Flavobacteriales; Weeksellaceae
Description: bacterial SSU rRNA
Rfam family: Bacterial small subunit ribosomal RNA
Source: RNAcentral